GGCUCUGGGCACAGCCGAGGCUGCAGGAGGCCGGCGGAGGGCUGCGAGCGCCCGGGGACUCCGUCACCCUCUCCUGCCGCGGGUCCGGCUUCACCUUUAGGAAUUACGGAAUUUGGUGGUACCGUCAGGCACCCGGAGGCAGCCUGGAGUGGGUGUCCGUUAUUAGUUACGAUCCGACAGUUUUUGUUUUUGACGAGUCAGUGAAGACUCGGGCCAAGAUUUCCCGGGACAAUUCCCAGUCCACCGCUUAUCUGUCCCUGCUGACCCUGCAGCCCCGCGACUCUGCCCGCUACUUCUGCUCUAUUCACACGGAGACAGGAAACCCAGCUGAGCUUUAA
Molecule: non-coding RNA, 338 nt
Organism: Cyanistes caeruleus (blue tit)
Lineage: Eukaryota; Metazoa; Chordata; Aves; Passeriformes; Paridae
Source: the annotation of a RefSeq genome assembly